This 72-nucleotide transfer RNA is filed under the name Sphaerodactylus townsendi. Its description in RNAcentral is "tRNA-Thr". It matches the Rfam family "tRNA". Rfam says of the family: Transfer RNA (tRNA) molecules are approximately 80 nucleotides in length. Their secondary structure includes four short double-helical elements and three loops (D, anti-codon, and T loops). Lineage: Eukaryota; Metazoa; Chordata; Lepidosauria; Squamata; Sphaerodactylidae. The record is from RNAcentral.
GGGGCCAUGACUCAAUGGUAGAGCAUCUGCUUUGUUUGUACAAGGUCCUGGGUUCAGUUCCUGGUGUCUCCA